This 860-nucleotide ribosomal RNA is filed under the name Salmonella enterica. RNAcentral describes it as "partial 23S ribosomal RNA". It matches the Rfam family "Bacterial large subunit ribosomal RNA", at positions 568 to 1369 of the family's 2925-position model. The record is from RNAcentral. Lineage: Bacteria; Pseudomonadati; Pseudomonadota; Gammaproteobacteria; Enterobacterales; Enterobacteriaceae.
AUACGCAUCCUUUGCUGAGGAGACGGUUAACGGAGCGAAAGCGACGUUCAACCUCAAAAGAAGCAGAGGGGGCUUAGUGGUGGGGUGACUGCGUACCUUUUGUAUAAUGGGUCAGCGACUUAUAUUCUGUAGCAAGGUUAACUGUAUAGGGGAGCCGGAGGGAAACCGAGUCUUAACCGGGCGUUAAGUUGCAGGGUAUAGACCCGAAACCCGGUGAUCUAGCCAUGGGCAGGUUGAAGGUUGGGUAACACUAACUGGAGGACCGAACCGACUAAUGUUGAAAAAUUAGCGGAUGACCUGUGGCUGGGGGUGAAAGGCCAAUCAAACCGGGAGAUAGCUGGUUCUCCCCGAAAGCUAUUUAGGUAGCGCCUCGUGAAUUCAUCUCCGGGGGUAGAGCACUGUUUCGGCUAGGGGGCCAUCCCGGCUUACCAACCCGAUGCAAACUGCGAAUACCGGAGAAUGUUAUCACGGGAGACACACGGCGGGUGCUAAUGUCCGUCGUGAAGAGGGAAACAACCCAGACCGCCAGCUAAGGUCCCAAAGUCAUGGUUAAGUGGGAAACGAUGUGGGAAGGCCCAGACAGCCAGGAUGUUGGCUUAGAAGCAGCCAUCAUUUAAAGAAAGCGUAAUAGCUCACUGGUCGAGUCGGCCUGCGCGGAAGAUGUAACGGGGCUAAACCAUGCACCGAAGCUGCGGCAGCGACACCGUGUGUUGUUGGGUAGGGGAGCGUUCUGUAAGCCUGUGAAGGUGUGCUGUGAGGCAUGCUGGAGGUAUCAGAAGUGCGAAUGCUGACAUAAGUAACGAUAAAGCGGGUGAAAAGCCCGCUCGCCGGAAGACCAAGGGUUCCUGUCCAACGUUAAU